This 448-nucleotide ribosomal RNA is filed under the name uncultured bacterium. RNAcentral's name for it is "partial 16S ribosomal RNA". It matches the Rfam family "Bacterial small subunit ribosomal RNA", at positions 329 to 793 of the family's 1533-position model. The record is from RNAcentral.
UUCCAGACUCCUACGGGAGGCAGCAGUAGGGAAUUUUGCGCAAUGGGCGAAAGCCUGACGCAGCAACACCGCGCGAAUGUUAAGCCCUUCGGGGUGUAAAGUUCUGUCAAUAGGGACGAAUUUUGACUGUACCUAUAAAGGAAGCACCGGCUAACUCCGUGCCAGCAGCCGCGGUAAUACGGGGGGUGCAAGCGUUGUCCGGAAUCAUUGGGCGUAAAGCGUUCGUAGGCGGCAAGGUAAGUCUGAUGUUAAAGCCCGGGGCUCAACUCCGGUUCGGCAUUGGAUACUAUCUAGCUAGAAUGUGGUAGAGGUAAAGGGAAUUCCUGGUGUAGCGGUGAAAUGCGUAGAUAUCAGGAGGAACACCGGCGGCGAAGGCGGCCUGCUGGGCUUUAACUGACGCUGAGGCUCGAAAGCGUGGGGAGCAAACAGGAUUAGAUACCCGUGUAAG